UGAUGUGUAGCUCAAUGGUUGAGCAUUUGCUUAAUAUGCAUGAAAUCCUGGGUUCAAUCCCCAGCACCUCAC
This 72-nucleotide transfer RNA is filed under the name Rattus norvegicus (Norway rat). It matches the Rfam family "tRNA". Rfam says of the family: Transfer RNA (tRNA) molecules are approximately 80 nucleotides in length. Lineage: Eukaryota; Metazoa; Chordata; Mammalia; Rodentia; Muridae. The record is from Rfam by way of RNAcentral.